Molecule: long non-coding RNA, 10424 nt
Organism: Equus caballus (horse)
Lineage: Eukaryota; Metazoa; Chordata; Mammalia; Perissodactyla; Equidae
Source: Ensembl
CGGGGCUGCCCACCACGGAAGGCCCGGAAAGGAGGGGUCAGCAUCCCGAGGGGACAGGACCCUCCAUUGGCUCUGGCUUUUCGGGGGGGUGUGCUGACCCUAGGCCACCGUCCAGGGUGCUCUGCCCCCUGCCCCAGGCAGACCGUCUCUCUCUCAGCGUCCCGCAAGCUCAUCUCCGGGCCCCAGCCCAGCAAACCCAGGUGAGGGGCCUGCCUGGUGACCGGGGCACAUCGCCCAGGGGAGGGGCUGUUCCCAGUGGGAAAGGAGUGGCCGUGGCCACGGACUGGGGGUCCUAGUCAGGACAGACGGGAUUCCGGGAACUCCACUCACUGUCCAGAAAGUGACCCGAUAGCCACCCCAGAGUUGUCCUGACAGGACCUUAAAGCCUGGGAAGCCGACCUGCGCUGAGAGGCCUAUGGUGAUUGGGGAGGACGUGGGGGCCUCCAGCGGCCCAGGACACCAAGCGGACAGGACGGGCCCUGUACUGGGGGUCUUGGCCCAAAGCCCCCACUACACAGUGAGACAGACCUGAAACCAGAAAAGUCUUUAUUGCAAAGGUACAAAAGCGUCACAGCAGAGAUGUACAGCAAUAAAUUAGGUGGUGGCCGUGAGGGGACAGGGCAGGUGUGGGCCACGACAUAAGGUCUCUUCUCAAUAAUUUAUAUCAUGAUAAAAGCAGCACAAAAAUAAAUAUUGAAAUGAAACUGCUGGGCAGGCAGAGGCGGGGAAAACCGGUGGGUGCCGAGCUUACGAAGGGGAGGCCCCGUCCCCCGGGGGGCCAGGCCCUGCGGGUGUCAGGGACUCGUGAGUCAGAAGCACAGGAGGACAAACCCACGCCACAAAGACGUCCCUGCCUUUUGUCUUAAAUAAAAAACCCAUAUAUUAAAAUUGUGACAAUGACAUCUCAAUGAUCCAAAAAGAAAAGCAGGAGGGAGCGAGCCAGUCUUCCUUCCCUGGCCCCUGAUCCCGGGAGGGCAAUGGGCAGCUGCGGGGACAGCUCCUCCGAGGCCCCAGCCAGCACUCGCCCACCUGCACCCCACGGGACGGGGCGCUCUGUGAACCCGGGGCGGCCACUGGGCAGGACAGCCGGCCAGGGUGGGCAGGGGGUGCGCCCAGGUGCCCAGGCCAUCUGCGGGACCCAAGUCAGAUGGGCAGGAGGGGAGACCAAGGGCAGCGGGAGGCGACCGGGCCUCCCACCUCGGGCUGCGAGCUGGUGCCUGAGGAGCCAGGCGGGGUGGCGACAGGUUCCCACUGCCCUGCCCUCGACGGCUGCUCUGCUCUAAGAGGCUGACAGUACCCAACAGGAAAAGAGUUACGAAAAGUCUGUACGAUAAAAUGUGUAUAUAAUUUUAUAUAUAUAUAUAUAUACUUUUCUCUCUUUUUUAAAUAUUUCCCCAUGGUCCUUAUUGACAUCCAAUGUGGAUUACCUACCAUGGCUAUGCGAUCAACAGCUUUUGCUUACACACCGGGCCUUUCUGUUACACACCAGGUUGUGUAAGGAUCCAGCGCCCCAGACCCUCCGCCUUCUCCCAGGACAGGGACAAGGCCAUGUGGCAAUGCUGCUGGAGAGGCCCAGGUGCCCUGUCUGCUCCUGCCAGCAGACACAGAAGCUGGACGCAGCCCUUGGGGCUGUCAGUCCUCCCCCAACCCUGGCAUGGCUGACACCUGCUUGCUGGGGGUCUCCCUGGGUGGCAGGGCACAAGAGGAAACCGGGAGCUGGAGCCCAGCGGCUUCUGGCCAGUGAUGGGGCUCAGCAGCUCACUCAGACCCAGGGCCGUGGCCCCAGCAUCCUCCCAGGAGGGGUAGAAGUGGCCGUCCAUGCCCAGCCCACACAGGGAGCCCCCGCGGUGGCUCUCAAGGAAGGGAAGCCCCAGCAAAGGUCACCUGCCCCAGAAAGGGCAGGUGAAGGUUCCAGGGAACUCAGCACCAGGCUCGCAGAGUCCCCUCGUCUCCUCUGUGCUGACACACCAUCCAGGUGCUUCCGGGAGGCCCGUCCGGUCCGUGUGGACUUCCUGGCCCAGAGCCUGCCACCUCGCCCACCAUCACCUCCUCUGCCCCAUUCAAGCCCGCCUCGUCUUCUGAUCCCACCCAGCCCCCUGCUCUCUCACCUCCUCCAGCAGUGGGAGCCACAGGCAGCCGGGCGCCCCCCAGCUCCAUGGCCGCUCCGGAGGCCUCGCUGACAGCCCGCCGUUCCGCACAGAACCUGCUCCCCACCCACCUCCCAGCCCCCAAGGCCCAUCGCCCCCUUCCCAUGCUGGGCACCACCUUCCCGGGCUCUGCGAGGCGGCCGCAGUGGGGGCUGGGUCCCCAGGCCAGGCUGCCACUGCUCCUCAAUAGGGACCUCCUUCCGGCCACCCCGACACAGAGAGAAAACUCACAACACUCAUGCACCUGCACCCACAGGCCCCCCCAGGACCACUUGCAACCAGCCACUCCUCCCAGGCCCCUGGUGCUGCAGGUGCUCUUCUGAGGUGGCAGGGGGACAGGCACGCUGACGUGUGUUGACAGGCUGCUGGUGGGAGGGGUGGAAGACGGAGCCCUUGCCACCCAGGCCACAGGGCCAGGGACCUGCUGAGGGCCCUCCCUGCAGACAUCCCAACUCCCCCGGCACAGGACACAGGCUCCGGAAGAGAGACAGUCCGCAGAGAGCUGGCAGGGCCCAGAGGAAGGCGAGGUGCGUGUGUGUGCAUGUGCGUGUGUGUGGGCGUGUGGGCAGGCGUGCGGCACACGGGCUCACAGGCCCCUAACUCUUCAUCAGGCCCCUGUGACCUCGCCCCGCCAGGAGCCCCACGGGAGCCUGUGCUUGGACUCGGGGUUUCAGGGGUCUGCUCCCCAUGGGACCCUCCAACAAGCACGAGGGACAGCCCCUCUGGCCCCACCGCCGGCCCCCUCGCCCAACCGGGGCCGGCACUAGGAGGCGGCCGAGAAGGGCACGGAGCUGGAGAUCUCAGCGGACUUGACGAUGGUGAUGACGCUGGUGGUGGCCACCUUGGUGGGCGUGAUGGGCCCGCGCGCCACGGUGCGGGCAAAGGUCUGCAGGGCCUCGUACUUGGAGCGCAGGGCGUCCAGCUCCAGCUUCAUGCUGCUGUUCUCACGCGCCAGCUUCUCCACCUCCUGCUGCAGCUCCACGCGCUGCCGCUCCAGCUCCUCCUUCUGCGUCACCCGCUUGAUGCGGCAGCUGGCGGCGUAGCCGCGGUUCUUGAGCGUGCGCCGGCGCUGCUUCAGACGGACCACCUCCUCCUUGGUGAGGCCACAGUGAAGGGCCGAGGCACGCAGCGGCCAGGCCCCCUCCCGAGAACAGCCGUGCCCAGCACUUGAGCAGUGCGCCGGCCAGGGGCAGCACCCUGCCCCGCCAAAAGCCUGUCACCCCCGACCCAGCCUGGCUCCCCGAGAAGCAGGGCCCCUUCGGGGAGCCCCUGCCCUUGCAGAGCUCACCCCAACGAGGGACGGGUGGAGCCCUGUGUCGGCCCCAGCCCGGCCCCGCCCUCCCGGCAGACCCACCUCCGCGAAGGGCACUGCAGCUGUGACAUCACCGCCGCCACCUAGACUGCCCCACAGCCAUGACCUGAGGCCCAGACGGUGGCCAGAGGCUCCCCACGCCAGCCAGCCCGGACCCGGGAGGUGGGAGCCACCACCUCACGCGCUCAUGGACUGUCUGGCGGGAGUCGUCCCCGCCGCCCGCCAGCCCCCCUACGCCCGCCCUUCUCAUUUUCGCGUCUGCAUUGUGUCACACAUUCUAAUCAUUCAUGAAAAAGCCAGCCAAAGCAUCCCAAGCAUGAUUCCCCUCUGAUAGUUGCCAUGGUGACCUUGGGAAGUAGCCAACCCCUGAUGGUCGCCAUGGAAACAGAGAAGCCCACAGCAACAAUGGCUUCGGGCUGGCGGUGCAGACACGGCAGGUUGCGGGACAGUAAACAAACCCUUGGUGCCCUGGCAGCCAGGGGGGCAGGAGGGGAACAGGCACCUGGCACACUGACGCCAGCUUACGGGAUCAGGGUCCGCUCCCCAGGUUCCAAACGCCACGUGAAGUGAACUGAGCAGAGAGACCGUCAGAGAAACGCGCCCAAGGAGGGGAAAUGGGGCCCCAGAGACGGAGCCGCAUCAAAGCCUCCAUCUGGGGGGAGCGAGACUCAGGGGGAUGGGCUCCACAACGCCCACAGUCCUGGGACCCUCACUGCAGCAUGGCCUGGGCCUCCACCCAUUGGCCCUGCCGCCAAGGGCCCGCCCGCCCCUCACCCCAGAGGCUGCCAACACGACAGAGGGGCCGGCACCCAGGCCUGCAGACGCCGACUGCCCCUUGCAUCGUGGCUGCUCUCCCAGGUACUAAUGAUGGCGGUGGAGAGCAGGACGGCAGCGGGGCCGAGCCGGGUAUGGCCUCCGGGGGCCCGCACUCCUCGGCACCCCUCGCAAGGUUUCACACGGGUGCCCGAGCCAGACACGCAGCAGGCUGAGGCAACCCUAGCAGGGAGCUAAGAGCCGCUUCCUGACAGUGGCUUGAUGCCCUGGCAUCUGGGGGCACCAACGAGCACCCCACAGGCCCGCCCCUCCCUGCAGGUGCGGGGGUCAAAGCCAGGCUGAAGGAGUCUCCAGGAGCCUGGCGGGAGCCCGGCGGCUGGGAGAGCCUGAGAAACUUCUCCAUGGCGGGCGGGUGGCCGGCGGGGACCGUUCCAGCUCACACUCCCAAGCACGUCAGCACACAAGGGCCCGGAGCCGCCAGGGCAUAGCUGUGCGGUGAGUCACCAGCUGUUUACAGAGCUGGGAGCUCACAUUCCCACAGCCCCGAGGCCCCUCCCACCCUGCCAGGACCCGAUGGGAAAAGGAAGGCCCCAGCCAAGGAGGGGCCUGCUCAGACCCCCCACCACACCCCACAGGCGUUCUGUGGCCCCCCCCCCCCCCGGGGAUGGUGACAUGCCAGCUCAGCCAGGUCAUGGGCCGUGUUCAGGGCAGGGAUGCCCCCCGGGGACCUGACCACCAGGAAUCACGUGGCGGGACACCUAGGUGACCAGGACGCGCACAGGCCUGGGCCGCAGCGCUCGGCGAGCUUGGCCUCCUCCCCUGCACAUAAGGGUCUAUCGCCCACAUCAGCGAGGUGAAGGUUGCCCGGGCAUAGCCCCGUGUUCAUGGGCUCUGAGCCCAUCUCGCCUGCGCCCCUGGACUAAUGGGGGCCCACCACCAUGGGCAAGGAGCCUCAGCAGAGACGGGAGAGCAGCCCUGGGGUCCCGCCUGGGGUCUGAGCGAGGAGGACGCCUCUCUCUAAGAGAGGGCACCAUGGUGGGGUCCGACCUCAGGGAACUGUCCCUAGUUCUCAGACCUUCUCUCCAAAGAGAGUGACAGGAGGACUAGAGGAGCGAACGUGCCGAGGUGACGGCUGCCCUGGUCUCGAGACAAAGUUGGGGAGUAAUUCAGUAAACCCUCUUCUCUCUGUGGGUCUUAAUCUCCUCUCCUGAAAAAUGAGGGGAUCAGAAAUGGGGCCCCAGGGUCUUGUCCAGCUCCCAAAGGUUCUCGGCUGGGUCCAAUGGGUGACGCUAGGAGAGAGACCCUGGCUGGGGGCUCCAUUCUCAACCCCCAGACUUCAGGGUCUGUACCAGAGGCCCCCUGAGGAACCAGAGACGGGGGGAGGCUGGGAAACCCCAGGCAGGACACCAUUGCACAGCUCUGUGCUCAUAAGCAGGACCCCCACUGCCUCGGCCCCUUCAGGGACCCGCUUUCCUGGGAAGUUUUCACCAACUGCUGGAGAGACGCGCUGCCCACCCGCCCCGUCUGCGCCCCAGCGGCCUGCCCCGCGAGAACCUCAUCGCACAGCCACAGGCUCCAGGUCCAGGGGCAGAGAGCCCUUCUCUUGGGAACUCAGUACACAGAGAAGAGCUGCACUGUCCCUUACCUCUACCCAAAAUACACAAAACACAUGUGCUAUCGACCUAAAGACACUCCAAACAUUAGAAAAAGGACAACCUGCUUUUGGUUCAGAGGAGCGAGGUUCAGAGGAGAGUUUCGGAUGAGUGAAAAAGAGUCAGUGAAACAAGUGAUUUUAAAACAACUGUCCUAAAAUGGGUAUUUGUAAGCCACGGAACCUCAGGCAACCUCCACGGGCACCAGAGCACACACAGGAAGAACUGUCUUCUGAGCCGGCCGGAACCCAGCCGGGGUUACACACUGCAGCCUGGCGCGGUGGGGCCAGGCGCGCGCCCCAGAAGCUGGCCUCCCCUCCUGUCAAGGGUCUAACGCCACAUUACCGCAUCAGCAACCGUCAGCGCCAAAAACGCCUCUCCAACAGCUGCCCACGAGGAUGCUCCAGCUGGGCUGUCCCACGUCCACGGACCGACAAGUCUUAGCGAUGCCGUGUGCAGAGAGCCCGCGCUCCCAGGGGCUUUCUGAUGCCACUCCAGUCACCCGAGCAGCUCAGCGGCCCGUGCCAGGCUGCGUCUGGAACGGUGUGUCUGCACGUCCGCUGCGUGCACCCACUUGCCCAUCCAAGUGGGAGUGACCACGCGCGUCCCCUUCAGCCCAGAGGGGGCCGCUGGUCAGGAGCGGGCGCAGUCAGCACUUAGAACGUGGAACACCUUUCGGGCGACUAUUUUUCUAACUGAAGAGGCUGGUUUUCAACCCAAAGCCAGAAACUUCAUUCUGACGUACAUCUAAACAAGGUGAACAAGGAAGGAUAAUUUCCUUUAAAAGCAGAGGAAACACCCGAGCAGCUCAGAUGGAGUCAGCUCCAGUGACCGCACAGUUUGGAAUAAAUUAGGGAGCCCGGGGCGCCCCGCCCCUUCCGGCCCGUAAAGAACAGGGCAGGGCGACUCUGCCCAGGGGAGCUGGGCAUCGCGGCCCUGCGCUCCGGGAGGGCGGGGCAGGUGGCCCAGGUUCCACCAUCCACCACUGCCUUCCAGAAGCAGGUGCGUCCAAGGCCAGGAUCUCGGGUGCCUUCGGGUUCCUUUUUACUUUCCAACUCCCAGCAAACGCCUACUGCUUGGCACUAGCUCGUGUGGGAAACUCACAGCCCUGGCCGUCCCCAGCACACUCCGGCCCUCUCUGGGCUGGGCCCGGGUUGGGGGUUUCUCCACCAAUAACACCAGGCCCAGGCAGCUGAUGGGAGCCAGGGCCCCACCCAAGGAUAAUCUCCUAGGUUGCCAUCAUGUAGGAGAAAAGAUUUUGAGUUUCAAAGGGCUCCAAUGCUGACUUAACGACUGGCCCACCCACUCAUCUGGCCUGUGAGCUGCAUGCGGGCAGGAAGCUGAACCUCUGGCACCUGUUCCAGCGGGCAGAGAGCGGAGGCGGCCGCUCCGGAGCCUCCCAGCAACUGCUAGGCGUGGGGUACCCCUCCCACUGCCAUCCUCCCAGGUCCCCAAGGCUGUCAGGGUGGGGAAGAGGGAGGAGGGGAGCCGAGGGGUUCCGUCUUGGAGGAGCAGGUUCCCACUCCAGGCCGCAGAGCAGCAACCGCUUCACCUGACAGGUGCAAACCCUGAAGCCAGAAGCCACCCAGAUGUGGCCGACUCUGCUCUGCAGGGCUGCGGGCCUCUCACAGGUGACCAAAGCUGAGCGCCCCUCCGGCUGGCUGCACGGCGGGGUUGACCCACACAGCGGGCUCCUGACAAACAAGCAAACGCUGACUCGUCCACAGUGACCUGUUGCCUCACCGGCUGAACACAGGCCCCAGGACCAGGAGGGCUUGGGACCACCUCCAGACCACCCUGCCCGCCUCCGGACACAGGGUUCUGCUGAUGUCACACCCCAGCUCCCCUCAACGUGGGGGGUGUCCCGCAGCACCUCGCUGUGCACCCCACCAGCCCGGCCCACACCCAGCCUGCAGGCUGGCCCUGGCUGGCUGCCCUCCGGCAAGACAAGACUGUCUGCCCGGCUUGGGGGACGUCUGGUCACCUUGUGUUUGCGGUUCGAGGAAGCUGUGUCAUCCUGGCUCCAUCCGGAGCCAUCUCAUGCUGCCCAGGGCUCCAGUCAGCCUCAACCUCCACGUGUAGCCAGGAUGCUCCCUGGAAAAACCGACAGGCCCGAGACACACGCGUCUCCCGCAGCUGCCCUCCCGUGUCUCCAGCUCAGACGACCCACCAUGGCAUUCACGCAGACAUCACCCCCCAGGCCUCACCUCUCCCUCCACGGCCGCUCGCUGACCCCAGCCUGCUGGCCUCAACCGAGUCUUCCUGCAGAUGCUCUGGCCCCCCGCUUCUCAUCAGGACUCCUGCCUCAGUCCCUCAAAUGCAGCCCCCCAGGCAGGCGGAGGGACCCACUGGCUCAGAGUCCCUCCCAAGCUGCCCAUUCCCUUGGCCACCUGUCGCCAUUCCAGGCCUCCACCUCUGGCUUCUGACAGCAGCCCCCCCCCCCCCCCCCCGCAAUCUGCACUGGCUUCGCACCCUUCUCCCGUCACCCCUGCCCUCCCCUCUCCAGCCCUCGCUUCACCAGAAAGCCCCAUUCCUGCCCUCCUUGUAAUGGGUGGGCGCCUGGUCUUUCUGUUGGAGCCCUGCCUCCCUCACUGGGCGGAGAGCAGGGGGCACUCUGACCUACACCCGCUCCCCCAACUCCUGGCAGGUGACAGGGGCCGCACAAACAGGUGUGUCAGCACUGCACUGAAGGGAGGGAGCCUAGGGGACACCUUCUACCCCACACCUCUGUGCCACCCCUUGCCCAGGACGCCCAGACAUCAGGCAGGGUGCCCCACUGGACCCUGGACCCGGGGCUCUGCCACCGCAGGCCAGGCGAGAACCCUCGGGACUUGGUUUCCUCAUCUAAGAUGGGGGCGGGGGUGUGUGUGUGUGUGGACUGUGUGCCAACCUAGGUUCACUUCUACCUGCUCCGAAACCCUAUGACUUUAAGGUGACACUUUCAGUUUCCUGAAACUGUAAGAAAGAGGAAACACGACGAGCCCGUGACUUAUAAAAAGCAAAAGUAAAUAGCGGAGCGAUGCAUCUCCCAUUGCAGAGAACGUGGGGGGGUUGGGGGGGAGGGAGGGUGAGUCACUGUUUACUGCUCAGGGGGAGCAGCUUCACAGUGGACGCUCCCAGCCCAUUUCCCGUGUGGACUGGACCCUGAAUCCAGAAAGUCCACACCAGAAACCUUUAGACCCAGGCAGGACUUCUUCUAGGUCGCCUGUGACUGUAAACAAACUCCGCAGAGUGAAAGCGUGCACGGCGGACAAAGAACAGACCGGAACCCGACCUCACGCAGUGGCAGCCUGGGCGCUGGAGAAAGGGCUGGAACGCAGCAAGCCCCGCACUCAGGAAGAGCGACUCCCCCAGUAGCCUCGACUCAACUCCCAUUUUUAGCAACCACCUUGAAAGUAAGCGACGCUGAACUUGGACCCGGGCCCUUAAAGUCCAGCGACCUUCAAGCACAAAAGGAAAUGCGCUCCGGGGAGAAGCCUCGCUUUGUGUUUUUGAGUUAAUAAACAUUUUAUUUUGGAAUAAAGAGAGGUCUAGUUGUAAGUUAUGAAAGCAGACGCCCUCUCCCGAGCUCAAACUCGGACAUUCCUACUGGGUCACCACUGAGGAAGGGCCAUGCUUAGGAAGCCUGUCAGCUACCCACAAUGCAACAGGUUGCAGACCUCUCCCACCUGCUUAGACUAACAUUUUUUUUAAACAGCGCCAUUCCCCCACCAAAGACACCAGGCUCAGAGCCCAGGCCCCAGAGCUGGCACACAGGACACACAGCUGCACUUUCUCAAGAUACCUGCUCCGUGAUCGCCGUGACAGCAAACCUCACCAACGCCAGUAAACGGGUCAGGGGAGAGCGGGUGGGCACCCAAGCCACACUCGUGGGAGCCCAGUGAUUCUGUGUCGGGUUCCCGAGGCCAGGCACCCGGCAAGAGGAGGUGGCUGAGGGUUGGUCAACUGUUGAAUGAACUGUUAGGUGGGACAUCCCAUUUCUGCCUCAGCUACAACAGCUGUGUGAAAGGUCAAAGGAACGUAAUCAUUAACACAAGACACAGCAGGGAACUUCCAGCAAGCCCGAACACGGGCCCCUCCAGCAUGUGUUCUGCGUUGCCCAGAAGACCCCACAAACUACCACGACAGACAGAUGGCAAGGCGGUCUGCCUUUCCUGGGGCAGACCUAGGCACCCAGCCAAAUAGCCGCGUCCCCUCCGAGGUCCCGGGGAAGGCGCGUGGAAGAGGCAGAGACAUUAUCUGUUUCCCAAAGUCAGCAGAAUCACAGAAAAAAAGCCGCAUUUAGAGUUAGAAGACACGGAGGCCCCCCCCCGUUCGCAGAUGUGGAAAAUGAGACCGCGGGCCACGGGGGAAGCGACACGUUCGCCCUGUCCCCCUCCCCACCCCACGCCUCCAGAGCAGGGCUCUCUCCGGGAAACGGCUGGCAGGAGGAGACCACCUGGCUGCACGCGUCCAGGACACACCACCCUGUCUACAGGGCAGGCAGGCUCACACAGGAGGAAAAGGCACUUGACGUCCCCCCACGACGGACACCCCCAU